GAUGAAGAACGCAGCGAAAUGCGAUACUUGGCGUGAAUUGCAGAAUCCCGUGAACCAUCGAGUCUUUGAACGCAAGUUGCGCCCGAAGCCAUUAGGCCGAGGGCACACCUCCCUGGGCGUCACACGUCGUUGCCCCCCCAUCUACUCCUUCGGGAUUGCGGGGGGCGGAUGAUGGCCUCCCGUGCGCCUCGUCGCGCGGUUGGCAUAAAUGCCAAGUCCUCGGCGACGCACGCCACGACAAUCGGUGGUUGCGAAACCUCGGUUGCCCGUCGUGUGCGGUCGUCGCGCAUCGAGGGCUCGAAAAAAUUGCCGGGCUCCGGCUCGGCUUUCAACGCGACCCCAUGUCAGGCGGGGUUACCCGCUGAAUUUAAGCAUAUCAAUAAGCGGAGGA
This 391-nucleotide unclassified non-coding RNA is filed under the name soil metagenome. RNAcentral describes it as "partial contains 5.8S ribosomal RNA, internal transcribed spacer 2, and large subunit ribosomal RNA". The stretch from base 1 to 122 matches the Rfam family "5.8S ribosomal RNA", at positions 35 to 154 of the family's 154-position model. The record is from RNAcentral.